Molecule: ribosomal RNA, 245 nt
Filed under: uncultured bacterium
Lineage: Bacteria
Description: partial 16S ribosomal RNA
Rfam family: Bacterial small subunit ribosomal RNA
Source: RNAcentral
UACGGAGGGUGCAAGCAUUAAUCGGAUUUAUUGGGCGUAAAGGGCGCGUAGGUGGUUUGGCAAGUCAGAUGUGAAAUUCUAGAGCUCAACUUUAGAGCUGCAUCUGAAACUGCGAGACUAGAGGGUAGACGGAGAAAAUGGAAUUCCACGUGUAGCGGUGAAAUGCGUAGAUAUGUGGAGGAACACCGGUGGCGAAAGCGGUUUUCUAGUUUAGACCUGACACUGAGGCGCGAAAGCGAGGGGAU